RNAcentral lists this small RNA (125 nucleotides) under Marmota monax (woodchuck). The record is from RNAcentral. Lineage: Eukaryota; Metazoa; Chordata; Mammalia; Rodentia; Sciuridae.
GCUAGGUGCAGUGAUGCACACCUGUAAUCCCAGUGGCUUGGGAGGCUGAGGGAGGAGGAUUACGAGUUCAAAGCCAGCCUCAGCAAAAGUGAGGUGCUAAGCAACUCAGUGAGACCCUGUCUCUA